ACUCCUACGGGAGGCAGCAGUGGGGAAUUUUGGACAAUGGGCGAAAGCCUGAUCCAGCAAUGCCGCGUGAGUGAAGAAGGCCUUCGGGUUGUAAAGCUCUUUUGUCAGGGAAGAAACGGUGAAAGCUAAUAUCUUUUGCUAAUGACGGUACCUGAAGAAUAAGCACCGGCUAACUACGUGCCAGCAGCCGCGGUAAUACGUAGGGUGCAAGCGUUAAUCGGAAUUACUGGGCGUAAAGCGUGCGCAGGCGGUUUUGUAAGUCUGAUGUGAAAUCCCCGGGCUCAACCUGGGAAUUGCAUUGGAGACUGCAAGGCUAGAAUCUGGCAGAGGGGGGUAGAAUUCCACGUGUAGCAGUGAAAUGCGUAGAUAUGUGGAGGAACACCGAUGGCGAAGGCAGCCCCCUGGGUCAAGAUUGACGCUCAUGCACGAAAGCGUGGGGAGCAAACAGGAUUAGAAACCCUGGUAGUCCCA
Molecule: ribosomal RNA, 471 nt
Filed under: uncultured organism
Description: partial 16S ribosomal RNA
Rfam family: Bacterial small subunit ribosomal RNA
Source: RNAcentral